Molecule: non-coding RNA, 51 nt
Filed under: unclassified sequences
Source: RNAcentral
GUUUUAAUGCAGCCUGGGACGGUUACAAGCCCGUGAAAUGCAGAGUAGAAC